Non-coding RNA from Nylanderia fulva, 1005 nucleotides. NCBI's taxonomy places the organism in Eukaryota, Metazoa, Arthropoda, Insecta, Hymenoptera, Formicidae. The record is from RefSeq and is a predicted model, not a curated record.
UAAAUUCCAAAUUGUUGCUGAGGCAAAAAGUCGUCGAGGAGUUCGCUCGACGUUUUAAUUAAUAAUUCGUUAUUAAUUUCACGCAGAGUCGAUACAUCGAAAGCUCGACGCUCGAAAAGAAUAAAACUGUCGCUUCGUCAUCGCGUAUUCGUUCAUCUCUGGUCAAAAAGGACGAGAGUUGAACGCACACAUAACCGGAUCGAUUAUUCGCUCAUUGUUCGAUCGCCGAGUUUGAGGAAGAAACGCGGGUCCGGUGGCAGGAAAUAAAGGGCAGAUGUUCCGUAUCGACACGGCCGAUCGAAACUCGUCGUCCAUUUUGUGCCUUUGUCUUCGAAGGGCGAUGAAUAAUGUAUCAUUGUCGUACCACGUUGCAGAGAUAAGAGGAAAUUAAAUCGUUGGAGAACCGCUGCCGCCAACAUGUUCUCGAGAAAUGUUUCUUCCGAGCGACGAGCGAAUCUCGUAGUCGACAGAAAAAGAUCCGCAUCCGCGGGAGCAUCGUCGCAAAAGACGCGAUCUUCGAAGGACAGAAAGCCCAUAAAAAGCUGCGCGACGAAACCGCGAGGUUCCCGCGAGCAGCCGCUUCUUUCGCAAAAAAGAGUAAGAAGGUGAGCGACGAUGCGAGACACAAGGGUCGCCUGUGCGACGAGACGAGCGUCGCCAGCCCGGAUAACAAUGAUGCGAUUUACAUUUUACGGAAGGAAAUACACGACUGGAGAAUGUCCGGGCAAUUAGCGAACAGAUUUAAACGCGAACGGCGCGUUACCGAAGAUGAAACGGAGAAGAGUUCCGUUCAAGAAAGCUGCAGCCGAGUUAUCGCAAAGGACCUACAAGAUCCAGACGUUCUGCCCGAAUUACCGAGCUUGAUUGUCGUCGAUCGGUCAACACGAUGCACGUGAGUACACCUGUGUGUGAGAAUUUUCUAUGCAUUUUUUUAAAUACGUGUACAUGCACUUGCGUGAAAACUCGCGAAAGUUUCGCGGAAACGGAUUAUUAUUCUGGAUUUUU